AACUAAGCGGAGAUUGGUAUUUCAGGAGUAUCUUAUCAUUGAUCUCAGGAACAAAUUGGGCUAGGAUGCAGCUGGUUUUUUUUUCGAAAAAAAAAAGCAUGUGCUCCUCUUGCUUCAGUUUUUGACCCACCUGUGCAUCUUGUGUAAAUUUUGGACACUUCACGGAAAGAUAAAAAUUUCCUGGUUUUGAGAAGAUGUUUUCAAAUAUGACAAACUCUUCUUGUGUUCAAAUCUACGUUAUCUUUUCUACAAUACGUUUUAUAAUCACAUAAUCAGAAUGAUCAAUAAAUUUAAAUUGAAACAACUUUCAACAACGGAUUUCUUGGCUCUCGCAUCGAUGAAGAACGCACCGAAAUGCGAUAAGUAGUGUGAAUUGCAAAAUUCAGUGAAUCAUCAAAUUUUUGAACGAAUCUUGCGCUUCUCGGUACCCAUUCCAAAAAGCAUGUCUGUUUGAGUGUCAUAAAAUUCUCAAAUUUCAUCUAAAUUUAAAUUUAAAUUUGAUUUGGAUUGUGGAACUUUUUGUCGGCUUGAAAAAAAAACCUGCUCUUCUGAAAUAUAUUAGUAAAAGUCCAAUUUGCCCUUUUUCGGUAUGAUAAUUAUCAUGUGCCGCAGGGAAUAAAUGGUUUGUGUUGCCUAAGCUUUUGCUUCCAGCUGUUCUCUCUUCGAGGACAACCACGUAUUAUGACAAUGUGACCUCAAACCAAAUAGGACUUACCCGCUAAACUUAAGCCUAUCAAUAACCGGAAGAACCCCCUUCUGAUACCACUAAUAUAACAAACACACAUUUCCUCAUACAAUCUCCAACCCAUACCUCAACCUACUCACAUCCACAACUCCACUAAAAACCAAGAUACCAUCUAUACCCUCAAACUACCUUACACACUAUCUACUACAAACCCUAUCCACUUCCCAACAUAUAUCCACACCUCACUCUACCAUCACAUAUCACCAACCUCCUACCCUCUCCACCAACCCCAUAACCUCCUACAAACAUAACAACACUCUAUACCCUCACCCAUUAACCAUAAUCACCUACUCCCAAACAACCACACUCACCUUAUAUAACUCCCACACCGCUACUAUAUACCAACCUACAACAUCUUUCUAAUACCUCCACCCUUUAUAUUACUUCCACUCUCUACUCCAACACUACACGACUCUAUUAACUAAACACUCAACCUCCACACCUUACUCAUAUUCAAACUCACAUUCACACCCACAACCUUCUCAUCUCCCAUAUUAUACCUAAAUAAUCAACCGUCCUAUUUCCCUAUACACCUCUCUUCUCACCACACCUAAAAUCUAUAUCCACCUCAUCCUACACUAAACCUACCAUCAACAUAAUCAAUCCACCACCCCCAUCAUUCAAUACUUACUCAUACCCCAUUUACACCUUCAA
RNAcentral lists this ribosomal RNA (1399 nucleotides) under Entolomataceae sp. 1 SS-2016. Its description in RNAcentral is "eukaryotic LSU rRNA". The stretch from base 303 to 460 matches the Rfam family "5.8S ribosomal RNA". The record is from RNAcentral. Lineage: Eukaryota; Fungi; Basidiomycota; Agaricomycetes; Agaricales; Entolomataceae.